Molecule: long non-coding RNA, 595 nt
Organism: Syngnathoides biaculeatus (alligator pipefish)
Lineage: Eukaryota; Metazoa; Chordata; Actinopteri; Syngnathiformes; Syngnathidae
Exons: 3
Source: RefSeq, a predicted model, not a curated record
GUGAGAAUGGUGGAACACAUGUGCCAAGGAAGUGACUUUUACCGGUAUGGUUUUUUUUUUAACCGCCCUUGUUAGCGCUGUGCUACCAUGUUGCUGCUGUGUCUGUGAUUUUUACCAGUAUGUUUUUUUUUUCCUAAGCUGCUCUGUUAGCGGCGCGCUGGCAUCAGCGUGUUUCUGCUUUGUUACUGCCGUGGCUUUUUUUUUUUUUUUUUUUUACCAGCAUGUUUUUUUUUGUUAACCAGCUUUGUUCAUGCUACCGUGUUGUUGCUAUGUUAAGAGCUCGAACUCGAGCGGAAAAGGAAUCGUUACCAUGGAGACAACGGGCUCGAGAAGGUUUUCCCCGGGGACGUCCAUCCACGUCAUGGCUACCGCGCCGGGGUCGCCCGGAGAGCACGGCGUGAGCAGGUCGUCCGUGACGACGUCGGGCUUGUUCCACGACGAGCCGCGGACCUGCAACCGUGGGUGGCCGACUGGACCUUCCUGACGGGCUGCAUGAGGGCGUCCCUGACGAUGACGCUGAUGUCGGCCCCCGAGUAGCCCUCCGUCUUCUUCCCCAGAGUGACGAAGUCGGCCUCCGUCAGCUCGUUGGGCGUGG